GACGUAGGGGGCCAGCGUUGCUCGGAAUUACUGGGCGUAAAGGGUCCGUAGGCGGUGCGGUAAGUCGGGAGUGAAAUCUCUGGGCUUAACUCAGAGGCUGCUUCCGAAACUACCGUGCUAGAGUGCGAGAGAGGCAAGUGGAAUUGCGGGUGUAGCGGUGAAAUGCGCAGAUAUCAGGAAGAACACCCGUGGCUAAGGCGGCUCUCUAGUACGGUACUGACGCUGAGACGCGAAAGCGUGGGGAGCGAACAGG
Molecule: ribosomal RNA, 253 nt
Filed under: uncultured bacterium
Lineage: Bacteria
Description: partial 16S ribosomal RNA
Rfam family: Bacterial small subunit ribosomal RNA
Source: RNAcentral